Molecule: ribosomal RNA, 2927 nt
Filed under: Salmonella enterica subsp. enterica serovar Bareilly str. CFSAN000700
Lineage: Bacteria; Pseudomonadati; Pseudomonadota; Gammaproteobacteria; Enterobacterales; Enterobacteriaceae
Description: bacterial LSU rRNA
Rfam family: Bacterial large subunit ribosomal RNA
Source: RNAcentral
GGGUUGUGAGGUUAAGCGACUAAGCGUACACGGUGGAUGCCCUGGCAGUCAGAGGCGAUGAAGGGCGUGCUAAUCUGCGAUAAGCGCCGGUAAGGUGAUAUGAACCGUUAUAACCGGCGAUACCCGAAUGGGGAAACCCAGUGUGAUUCGUCACACUAUCAUUAACUGAAUCCAUAGGUUAAUGAGGCGAACCGGGGGAACUGAAACAUCUAAGUACCCCGAGGAAAAGAAAUCAACCGAGAUUCCCCCAGUAGCGGCGAGCGAACGGGGAGGAGCCCAGAGCCUGAAUCAGCAUGUGUGUUAGUGGAAGCGUCUGGAAAGGCGCGCGAUACAGGGUGACAGCCCCGUACACAAAAGCGCAUGUGCUGUGAGCUCGAUGAGUAGGGCGGGACACGUGGUAUCCUGUCUGAAUAUGGGGGGACCAUCCUCCAAGGCUAAAUACUCCUGACUGACCGAUAGUGAACCAGUACCGUGAGGGAAAGGCGAAAAGAACCCCGGCGAGGGGAGUGAAAAAGAACCUGAAACCGUGUACGUACAAGCAGUGGGAGCACAGGUUUACCUGUGUGACUGCGUACCUUUUGUAUAAUGGGUCAGCGACUUAUAUUCUGUAGCAAGGUUAACCGUAUAGGGGAGCCGGAGGGAAACCGAGUCUUAACCGGGCGUUAAGUUGCAGGGUAUAGACCCGAAACCCGGUGAUCUAGCCAUGGGCAGGUUGAAGGUUGGGUAACACUAACUGGAGGACCGAACCGACUAAUGUUGAAAAAUUAGCGGAUGACCUGUGGCUGGGGGUGAAAGGCCAAUCAAACCGGGAGAUAGCUGGUUCUCCCCGAAAGCUAUUUAGGUAGCGCCUCGUGAAUUCAUCUCCGGGGGUAGAGCACUGUUUCGGCUAGGGGGCCAUCCCGGCUUACCAACCCGAUGCAAACUGCGAAUACCGGAGAAUGUUAUCACGGGAGACACACGGCGGGUGCUAACGUCCGUCGUGAAGAGGGAAACAACCCAGACCGCCAGCUAAGGUCCCAAAGUCAUGGUUAAGUGGGAAACGAUGUGGGAAGGCACAGACAGCCAGGAUGUUGGCUUAGAAGCAGCCAUCAUUUAAAGAAAGCGUAAUAGCUCACUGGUCGAGUCGGCCUGCGCGGAAGAUGUAACGGGGCUAAACCAUGCACCGAAGCUGCGGCAGCGACGUUUAUGUGUUGUUGGGUAGGGGAGCGUUCUGUAAGCCUGUGAAGGUGUGUCGUGAGGCAUGCUGGAGGUAUCAGAAGUGCGAAUGCUGACAUAAGUAACGAUAAAGCGGGUGAAAAGCCCGCUCGCCGGAAGACCAAGGGUUCCUGUCCAACGUUAAUCGGGGCAGGGUGAGUCGACCCCUAAGGCGAGGCCGAAAGGCGUAGUCGAUGGGAAACGGGUUAAUAUUCCCGUACUUGGUGUUACUGCGAAGGGGGGACGGAGAAGGCUAUGUUGGCCGGGCGACGGUUGUCCCGGUUUAAGCGUGUAGGCUGGUUUUCCAGGCAAAUCCGGAAAAUCAAGGCUGAGGCGUGACGACGAGGCACUACGGUGCUGAAGCAACAAAUGCCCUGCUUCCAGGAAAAGCCUCUAAGCAUCAGGUAACAUCAAAUCGUACCCCAAACCGACACAGGUGGUCAGGUAGAGAAUACCAAGGCGCUUGAGAGAACUCGGGUGAAGGAACUAGGCAAAAUGGUGCCGUAACUUCGGGAGAAGGCACGCUGACACGUAGGUGAAGUGAUUUACUCAUGGAGCUGAAGUCAGUCGAAGAUACCAGCUGGCUGCAACUGUUUAUUAAAAACACAGCACUGUGCAAACACGAAAGUGGACGUAUACGGUGUGACGCCUGCCCGGUGCCGGAAGGUUAAUUGAUGGGGUCAGCGCAAGCGAAGCUCCUGAUCGAAGCCCCGGUAAACGGCGGCCGUAACUAUAACGGUCCUAAGGUAGCGAAAUUCCUUGUCGGGUAAGUUCCGACCUGCACGAAUGGCGUAAUGAUGGCCAGGCUGUCUCCACCCGAGACUCAGUGAAAUUGAACUCGCUGUGAAGAUGCAGUGUACCCGCGGCAAGACGGAAAGACCCCGUGAACCUUUACUAUAGCUUGACACUGAACAUUGAGCCUUGAUGUGUAGGAUAGGUGGGAGGCUUUGAAGCGUGGACGCCAGUCUGCGUGGAGCCGACCUUGAAAUACCACCCUUUAAUGUUUGAUGUUCUAACGUGGACCCGUAAUCCGGGUUGCGGACAGUGUCUGGUGGGUAGUUUGACUGGGGCGGUCUCCUCCUAAAGAGUAACGGAGGAGCACGAAGGUUGGCUAAUCCUGGUCGGACAUCAGGAGGUUAGUGCAAUGGCAUAAGCCAGCUUGACUGCGAGCGUGACGGCGCGAGCAGGUGCGAAAGCAGGUCAUAGUGAUCCGGUGGUUCUGAAUGGAAGGGCCAUCGCUCAACGGAUAAAAGGUACUCCGGGGAUAACAGGCUGAUACCGCCCAAGAGUUCAUAUCGACGGCGGUGUUUGGCACCUCGAUGUCGGCUCAUCACAUCCUGGGGCUGAAGUAGGUCCCAAGGGUAUGGCUGUUCGCCAUUUAAAGUGGUACGCGAGCUGGGUUUAGAACGUCGUGAGACAGUUCGGUCCCUAUCUGCCGUGGGCGCUGGAGAACUGAGGGGGGCUGCUCCUAGUACGAGAGGACCGGAGUGGACGCAUCACUGGUGUUCGGGUUGUCAUGCCAAUGGCACUGCCCGGUAGCUAAAUGCGGAAGAGAUAAGUGCUGAAAGCAUCUAAGCACGAAACUUGCCCCGAGAUGAGUUCUCCCUGAGACUUAGAGUCUCCUGAAGGAACGUUGAAGACGACGACGUUGAUAGGCCGGGUGUGUAAGCGCAGCGAUGCGUUGAGCUAACCGGUACUAAUGAACCGUGAGGCUUAACCUUACAACGCCGAAG